CUUAACAUAAUCAUGAUUGUCUAAGAAAAGAAAAGAAUCUCUCUUUUACGCAUUUCCAGAUUGUCCGUCAGUCAGGGAAAUCUACUUCCAUUUUCUUUUAAAUUUUCGUAACUGAUGAUAUUGUUUGUUCGUUUUGCAGAACUCCAAUAAUUUUCCACAUAAUAACAACCCAAGGUGCCAGCAGUAGCUGCAAUGGUAACCGGCGACAAGACUGCAUUUUGCCAAUGUGGCUUUGCAGGGGUGCAAAACACACUAUUAGUGAGAGAAAUCACUGGUUGUAGCUUUGAAACACUCAGAAGGGAUAAAACACAAAGUUUUAUUUCAAGAACAAAAGCUUACAGAAGCAAAAAAAUAACACAAAAGCUUAAUACACGCCCUCUCUCUUUCUUUCUAGUAUUUCUCUCUAAUCUCUCCACACAUAAUAGCAUAAGCUCAGCUUGCUAUUUAUACACGAAUUCAAAACAAGAAAAUUCAACCUUCAAGUGUGAAGGCGGCUGGCGGCUAUGGCGGUUGUGGCGGCAAACAGCUGGUGGCUGGCGGCUGAGCGGUUGGUGGCUGGACGGUGACAGCUGGUAGCUACCUUCCUUGACCUUCUAGAUGGAUUGAGUUUAAUACAACAAAAACACUGUUGGAUGAUGGAGGCAGGCAUUACUUCAAGCGUUGCAGCAUACAGGGUGCUGUUGAUUUCAUCUUUGAUUGCUCUAUACAAGCACUUGGAGGGUUUAUUCCAGCACAAGGAAGAACGAAUCCAAAUGAUGCAAAUGGGUUUCUGUUCAAGGGAUGCAAUGUUAUAUUCUAGGGUCUUAUUCCGCCUGGAACUUGUUGGCCAUGAGCACGCUUUCUAAGCUCACAAAUCAUAUCUAUCGACCCAGCUUGGUUCCUGUAUAAAUUAAACAAAUAUGCCUUAAUUAUGUUGUUAGGGAUGGAAAUGUGUUUAAUUAGUGGCUUCUAUGUUCACAUAAUUUAGAUGCAAGCA
Molecule: long non-coding RNA, 976 nt
Organism: Populus nigra (black poplar)
Lineage: Eukaryota; Viridiplantae; Streptophyta; Magnoliopsida; Malpighiales; Salicaceae
Exons: 2
Source: RefSeq, a predicted model, not a curated record